GGGGGCCCGCACAAGCGGCGGAGCAUGCGGAUUAAUUCGAUGCAACGCGAAGAACCUUACCAAGGCUUGACAUGGACCGGACCGGGCUGGAAACAGUCCUUCCCCUUUGGGGCCGGUUCACAGGUGGUGCAUGGUUGUCGUCAGCUCGUGUCGUGAGAUGUUGGGUUAAGUCCCGCAACGAGCGCAACCCUCGUUCCAUGUUGCCAGCGCGUAAUGGCGGGGACUCAUGGGAGACUGCCGGGGUCAACUCGGAGGAAGGUGGGGAUGACGUCAAAUCAUCAUGCCCCUUAUGUCUUGGGCUUCACGCAUGCUACAAUGGCCAGUACAGAGGGCUGCGAGACCGUGAGGUGGAGCGAAUCCCUUAAAGCUGGUCUCAGUUCGGAUCGGGGUCUGCAACUCGACCCCGUGAAGUCGGAGUCGCUAGUAAUCGCAGAUCAGCAACGCUGCGGUGAAUACGUUCCCGGGCCUUGUACACACCGCCCGUCACGUCAUGAAAGUCGGUAACACCCGAAGCCGGUGGCUUAACCCCUUGUGGGAGGGAGCCGUCGAAGGUGGGAUCGGCGAUUGGGACGAAGUCGUAAGCAAGGUAACCGUAAGGGC
RNAcentral lists this ribosomal RNA (600 nucleotides) under uncultured bacterium. RNAcentral's name for it is "bacterial SSU rRNA". It matches the Rfam family "Bacterial small subunit ribosomal RNA", at positions 915 to 1509 of the family's 1533-position model. The record is from RNAcentral.